Solanum stenotomum is the source of this 379-nucleotide long non-coding RNA. RefSeq lists it as uncharacterized. The transcript is spliced from 2 exons. The record is from RefSeq and is a predicted model, not a curated record. NCBI's taxonomy places the organism in Eukaryota, Viridiplantae, Streptophyta, Magnoliopsida, Solanales, Solanaceae.
UUUCCAGUGCCCUCUGCAAUGUCCCUCCAUGGCCAAGUCUUCGAAUGGUGCAAGACUCACGCAGCUCCUGUAUGUCCCUGCCUUUUGACUUCUCCUGGCGUUUCUCUGGAUCUACAUGUACCUCCUAGUCCUGACUGAGCUUGUUGUUGAUAGCUGACCCUUCUUUUUGUGUGCAUAACUUGUAACCCAUGGUAUGCUUGUUGUACCCCAUUCCUAUAAAUCCCUUUUUGUGCGUAGAUCUCCUUUUGAUGCUCAAUGACUUUUGUCCCCUGUGUCAUAACUGCAUGCAUCAUGGUUUUAUGUUUUGUGUGCUGAAUCUGUAUCAAAUCUCCUCUGUGUAAAUAGGUUUAGUACUAAUCCGUAGGGAUGGGAUUUGGGA